CAGUACAGAGUGCUUUCCUGGGUUCAAGCCAGAUGAAGAGGCUGAGAGGGGACAGACCUUUUCUCUAGGUCAGCAGACAACUGCUAUGACUCCCUGAGCUUUUGCUAAAUUGUCCUGUAUCCUUGAGCAGUGGCCUCAGGCAGCAUGACUUGGCCACCAGAACUCACUGGCAGGUCAUGGGGUUGGUGAUAUACCGUGUCUUGCAGCUCUGGCUCCUCAAGCAGGACCCAUGAUGCAUGAUCUAGUUCUGCGGUCUUAGUUUCAGGAAGACUUUAGGGGCCCCUUCUUUAAGAGCUGGUAUGAGCCAUUGAUGUUGGUUGCCUUCUGGAACUGGUUGGUCUUACAAUUGCCUUAUUCACUCUUUGGUUUCUCUUGGCGCUUAAUUCAGACAUUUGGAGAACACAUAUUCUCUGCUUCAAGCAGAAUAAUAAUCCACAUUUGUUAGAGUUCCCAUUGUGGCUCAGUGGUAACGAACCUGACUAGUGUCCAUGAAGAUGAGGGUUUGAUUCCUGGUCCCACUCAGUGGGUUAAGGAUCCGGUGUUUCCAUGAGCUGCAGUGUAGGUCGCAGACAUGGUUUGGAUCCUUUGCUGCUGUGGCUGUGGCAUAGGUCAGCAGCUGCAGCUCCGAUUUGACCCUAAGCUUGGGAACAUCCAUAUGCUGCACUUGCAGCCCCCUGCCCAACAACAACAACAAAAAUCCACAUUCGCUUGGAUUGCCAAUUGGAUUCCACCCCAUCUACCUCUAUAAUAGUAUUUGUAUUCCAGAUGAAUGUACUACACAUGGGAAUUGGUUUUUAAAGUGUGGAGGCAGCAACUCCCCUUGUUUCUGCCUGGAAAGCUGCGAUAAUUGGCCUUCUGGUAGAAGAUAGGCAUCUGUCAAAGCCCUCGAAGCUAGAGAAGUAUUCCAGCAGCUGGUGACCUUAUUUCCCUUACCAAGAUCCCUGCUUGCUCACCUGGCCUCAUCCAAUCAGGGCUGACAUCCCCGGCCUGGCUGUGGGAUUGCCUAAGAGCCUCCUACCUCUUCGCUUGCCAGCUGGUGCUUGUUUGUAUGAGACACUGGCCCCAGCAGAGGGGUGCUAGGAGGCAUUCAACCUCUGCUAUCUUCAACACAGGACUUCCAAAGUCUUCCUGGGUGCUGACAUCCCACUGCUAGAUGUGAGAAGAAUGAAGCAAGUUGUACUUGAGUUUCCAAGUACAAUGGUUUUGGUUUUUUUCCUUUUGUUGAUUGCCUUGGAAGGAUGGAAUAUAUUUAAAUGAAGAUUAGGCUCUUCUUGGCCAUGAAUAAAGGACAAGAGGUUUUUGGUACACAUUGAUUUACACUCUGGGUUUAACGGGUCAUCCAAGGCAAACGUGAAAGCACAAAAGGAGGAGGGGAGUGUAUAGGGAAUAUGGGGGGAGGGCACAGUUGGCAGCCACAAGAUUUCUGGCUGUGGCCAUUAGGGCAUCUCCAUCUUUUUUUUUUUUUUUUUUUUUUUUGGUCUUUUUAGGGCCGCACCCAAGGCACAUGGAAGUUCCCAGGCUAGGGAUCGAAUCGGAACUGUAGCUGCUGGCCUACACCUCAGCCACAGCAACACAGGAUCCAAGCUGCGUCUGCGACCUAUACCACAGCUUACGGCAAUGCCAGAUCCUUAACCCACUGAGCGAGGCCAGGGAUUGAACCCAUGUCCUCACGGGUCCUAGUCGGAUUCAUUAACUGCUGAGUCAUGACAGGAACUGCUAGUAUGUCUCCAGCUUUUGAAGGACACUGGAUCAAGUCCCUUUUCAAGUCCCUUCAAAACCAUGUCAACCAAUUCUUUGCCUGUUAUUCAAGACUGAUGGCUUAGGAAGCAUGUGGUCUAGUUCCUAGAAAGAAAACCUGACCCACCCACCUCUCCACCACUGCUGAACUUGUGUCCAACUCUCUGACCCUGUUCCUUGCCACAAAAUGUUCAUUUUCUCUGAACCCCCAGCCCCUGUCCCAGAUCCUGGAAUCUUAGUUGAGGCCCGAACUUGAAUUCUUCACUUGUCAGGAUGAGGGUUUGGACACAGACUCAUCCCUCCUCUGCCAAUUCUCCUUUCAAACCGAGGCAUAAGAUUUUUUUUUUUUAAUUAAAAAGACCCCAAAACCUGAGGCUGUGGCUGCUAGUUACCUACCGAAAUUAUUUCCCUUUCUUCUACAACAUAUGGUCAGACCAUAUUUUCUAGCCCAUCUCCCUUGAAGUUUGAUGGGGUCUUGUGACUGCGGAAACACUUUGAGGCUUGGCCCCCAAAACCUUCCUUGGGAUUUUCUCUUCUCUCAUCUGACAACUGGAUGCCACUACCUGGGAUGACAUUGGAAAUCUCCUGUUGAAGAGGACAGGCCUUUUGUCAGCUGGAUUUCUGAAUGAUUCCUAGAUACCAAAAACUAGACUUCAUGAGAGUGAAAAGUGCAUUCUAUUUCAGAUACAGGUUAGACUACGAAGGUGUAAAGGUUAUCUGUUUCAGAGUUUGGCAUUACCAUAUUUAAUAAUAAAAUCCUUUAUGAUAUGU
RNAcentral lists this long non-coding RNA (2508 nucleotides) under Sus scrofa (pig). RNAcentral's name for it is "lncRNA (ENSSSCG00050001132.1)". Lineage: Eukaryota; Metazoa; Chordata; Mammalia; Artiodactyla; Suidae. The record is from RNAcentral.